RNAcentral lists this unclassified non-coding RNA (309 nucleotides) under Hevea brasiliensis (rubber tree). The record is from RNAcentral. Lineage: Eukaryota; Viridiplantae; Streptophyta; Magnoliopsida; Malpighiales; Euphorbiaceae.
GCAGUUUCAACUGUUCAUCAUAUUAGCAUUUCAGUUCCUUCACAGUAUCUUUGACAGCAAAAUUCACACAUGGGAUUCAAUUGUAACAAAAGCUAAGAUUUGAAGAUGUGUGCAGUACAGAUAUUAUAUCCAUCACCAACCUCCCUCAAUUGGUCUUCUUUCAGAGACCUAAAAAGGAGGCCAAAAAAGCCUCCCCCCAUUGCCAACCUCUUUCAAUCCUUAUGUCAUUUGAAUGUAGUGUAACGAAAGUUGAGUUUAUUUGUGUUCACUCUAUGAAGCAUAUUAACACAACAUUGAGCCCAACCGCAG